AAGCCUGGCAGCAGGCCUACACAUGCAAGUCGAGCGGAUGAGUGGAGCUUGCUCCAUGAUUCAGCGGCGGACGGGUGAGUAAUGCCUAGGAAUCUGCCUGGUAGUGGGGGACAACGUUUCGAAAGGAACGCUAAUACCGCAUACGUCCUACGGGAGAAAGCAGGGGACCUUCGGGCCUUGCGCUAUCAGAUGAGCCUAGGUCGGAUUAGCUAGUUGGUGAGGUAAUGGCUCACCAAGGCGACGAUCCGUAACUGGUCUGAGAGGAUGAUCAGUCACACUGGAACUGAGACACGGUCCAGACUCCUACGGGAGGCAGCAGUGGGGAAUAUUGGACAAUGGGCGAAAGCCUGAUCCAGCCAUGCCGCGUGUGUGAAGAAGGUCUUCGGAUUGUAAAGCACUUUAAGUUGGGAGGAAGGGCAUUAACCUAAUAUGUUAGUGUUUUGACAUUACAGACAGAAUAAGCACCGGCUAACUUCGUGCCCACCACCCGCGGUAAUACGAAGGGUGCAAGCCGUUUAUCGCAAUUACAGGACGUAAAACGCGCGUAGGUG
RNAcentral lists this ribosomal RNA (551 nucleotides) under Pseudomonas sp. Its description in RNAcentral is "bacterial SSU rRNA". It matches the Rfam family "Bacterial small subunit ribosomal RNA", at positions 32 to 577 of the family's 1533-position model. Lineage: Bacteria; Pseudomonadati; Pseudomonadota; Gammaproteobacteria; Pseudomonadales; Pseudomonadaceae. The record is from RNAcentral.